GAGAUUGGAGAUAUAAGGUGGAUUUUGGUGAAUGGAGAGAUAAGGUGGUUCUUGGAGUGGAUGAGGAACUAAUUACUAACAUCUAACAUGACUUUGUCCGAUAAAAAAAAAAAAAAAAAAAAAAAUGAGUCCACAACUUAGUGAUUGAAAAAGUGGCCCACUAUUACUAAAAAUAUACUCUCCGUCUCACAAAAACAUGAACAUUUUGCCAUUUUUGGGUGUCUCAUAAAAACAUGAACAUU
RNAcentral lists this long non-coding RNA (242 nucleotides) under Salvia miltiorrhiza (redroot sage). RNAcentral's name for it is "long non-coding RNA (SMIL_LNC011197)". Lineage: Eukaryota; Viridiplantae; Streptophyta; Magnoliopsida; Lamiales; Lamiaceae. The record is from RNAcentral.